This 58-nucleotide transfer RNA is filed under the name Pycnolejeunea contigua. Its description in RNAcentral is "partial tRNA-Phe". It matches the Rfam family "tRNA", at positions 1 to 57 of the family's 71-position model. From Rfam's summary of the family: Transfer RNA (tRNA) molecules are approximately 80 nucleotides in length. Their secondary structure includes four short double-helical elements and three loops (D, anti-codon, and T loops). Further hydrogen bonds mediate the characteristic L-shaped molecular structure. tRNAs have two regions of fundamental functional importance: the anti-codon, which is responsible for specific mRNA codon recognition, and the 3' end, to which the tRNAs corresponding amino acid is attached (by aminoacyl-tRNA synthetases). tRNAs cope with the degeneracy of the genetic code in two manners: having more than one tRNA (with a specific anti-codon) for a particular amino acid; and 'wobble' base-pairing, i.e. permitting non-standard base-pairing at the 3rd anti-codon position. Lineage: Eukaryota; Viridiplantae; Streptophyta; Jungermanniopsida; Porellales; Lejeuneaceae. The record is from RNAcentral.
GCCGGGAUAGCUCAGUUGGAGAGCAGGGGACUGAAAAUCCUCGUGUCACCAGUUCAAA